AGGACGAACGCUGGCGGCGCGCUUAACACAUGCAAGUCGAGCGAGAACCAGGGCUUCGGCCCUGGGGAAAGCGGCGAACGGGUGCGUAACACGUGAACAACCUGCCCUCGUGUGGGGGAUAGCCGGGCUAACGCCCGGGUAAUACCGCAUACGGUCCUUUGGGGGAGUCCCUGAGGGAAGAAAGCUCCGGCGCACGGGGGAGGGUUCGCGGCCUAUCAGCUAGUUGGCGGGGUAAUGGCCCACCAAGGCGACGACGGGUAGC
Molecule: ribosomal RNA, 262 nt
Filed under: uncultured bacterium
Lineage: Bacteria
Description: partial small subunit ribosomal RNA
Rfam family: Bacterial small subunit ribosomal RNA
Source: RNAcentral